This is a long non-coding RNA of Tachysurus fulvidraco (yellow catfish), 556 nucleotides long. RefSeq lists it as uncharacterized. NCBI's taxonomy places the organism in Eukaryota, Metazoa, Chordata, Actinopteri, Siluriformes, Bagridae. The transcript has 3 exons. The record is from RefSeq and is a predicted model, not a curated record.
GAAGACCACAUGAACAUGGCUAAGAAGAAAGUCCCCUUGGAUAGGCUCCUGGUUCCUGGUUAUUCAAUAAGCAGGACUGAAAAUUGUUGGACGGAUGGAUGGAUGUAUGGAUGAUAUCCAGAUCCCAUUCAGACUCGUCAGUAGGUUGCAACAGAGCAUCAAAGCACCAUGGCUCCUCGGCAGAAGUUGCCACGGAAAUCACAUUUCCCACUUUCAUCUACAAAUGCUCCGGGAAAAAAGAACUAAGAAACUGCAAAAUGCAAGAUUCUGAAGAUUUUUCCCUUGAGGGACAACUAUAAAAAGACUCUCUCUUCUGACAAUCAACUGUCUCUUCUGACAAUUGCAAAGCACUGACUCUAAAGAAAAAAUAUUAUAAAUAAACAUUCUACAUCCUCACAGAAAACUUCACCAUACACACAUUUCUAAAAUUUGUUUAUGUGGAGCGUUUACAUUGCAUAUCCAUGUAUAAGUUACUACAGAAUAGUUUUUAGAAGUUUUGACCCUGUUUGUCAUCCAUAAUACGUAUCCUACAGUACCUUGCUGCAAUAUGUCAAAA